UGCCGUUGUAAGCCAUCCACUGCACUUUGAAAUGACUGGUGGAGCUAUCAUAUUCAUUGAUACUUUCAAUUGCUUAGUGUAGUAGCAUAGAUAGAUGUUCUGAUGCGAUCUCUUCACUUUCAUCGUUCUGAUGCGAUCUCUCACUUUCCAUAGUGCAUCUGUAGGAAAGAAUAACUCUUAAUGGAUAGGGCUUAGGUACCUGAAGAAGGAAAUGUUUACUGCCGGCGCGGGACGAGAGGCUCAAGCUUUGUUCAAAACCAGCACUGUUCCCUAUAAGGAAAGAGGAAAGUGAAGGCAUAGAGCGCGAAGUAGACUGGAAAUAGCUCCAAUCCAUGAUUGUUAGAACGCUUUCUCGAAGGGCUAAAAGCAAGUACCUGGUUCUCAGCAUGAUUCAAAGACUUAUAAAGGGAGUGAUGAACUUUCAGCAUACAAGCUUACGCCCUGAGCUAGGGCUUCGACCCCCGCCGUAGUAAGAGAGACUACAAGAACACUAAUUCGCCUAAGAAAUCAGAACCAUUGCUGAUUGAUGACCUACUACUAUCAAAUCAGAACCAUUGCUGAUUGAUGACCUACUCAAAGAAGGAAUUAAUAAAUCAAAGCUUAGCUCCGCUCGCAACGGCUCACUCAUUCCGUAGAUAGAUUGGGACCCCAAAGGAGAAAGAAAGAUUGAUUGAUUUCGCACCCUUCCAACUAGGCCUAGUAUAGUACCUCCCAACACCAUUAAUGAACCCGCCGCGGAAAGAUAACUUCGAAGGUAUAGCUCGGGCUGCC
RNAcentral lists this long non-coding RNA (771 nucleotides) under Musa acuminata (dwarf banana). RNAcentral describes it as "long non-coding RNA (MACU_LNC007780)". The record is from RNAcentral. Lineage: Eukaryota; Viridiplantae; Streptophyta; Magnoliopsida; Zingiberales; Musaceae.